UGGGGAAUAUUGCACAAUGGGCGCAAGCCUGAUGCAGCCAUGCCGCGUGUAUGAAGAAGGCCUUCGGGUUGUAAAGUACUUUCAGCGGGGAGGAAGGCGAUAAGGUUAAUAACCUUGUCGAUUGACGUUACCCGCAGAAGAAGCACCGGCUAACUCCGUGCCAGCAGCCGCGGUAAUACGGAGGGGGCAAGCGUUAAUCGGAAUUACUGGGCGUAAAGCGCACGCAGGCGGUCUGUCAAGUCGGAUGUGAAAUCCCCGGGCUCAACCUGGGAACUGCAUUCGAAACUGGCAGGCUAGAGUCUUGUAGAGGGGGGUAGAAUUCCAGGUGUAGCGGUGAAAUGCGUAUAGAUCUGGAGGAAUACCGGUGGCGAAGGCGGCCCCCUGGACAAAGACUGACGCUCAGGUGCGAAAGCGUGGGGAGCAAACA
This 427-nucleotide ribosomal RNA is filed under the name uncultured bacterium. RNAcentral describes it as "partial 16S ribosomal RNA". It matches the Rfam family "Bacterial small subunit ribosomal RNA", at positions 355 to 774 of the family's 1533-position model. The record is from RNAcentral.